This 23-nucleotide non-coding RNA is filed under the name Arabidopsis thaliana (thale cress). Lineage: Eukaryota; Viridiplantae; Streptophyta; Magnoliopsida; Brassicales; Brassicaceae. The record is from RNAcentral.
CCCGAAAGUCUACAUCUUCUAGA